RNAcentral lists this unclassified non-coding RNA (223 nucleotides) under Hevea brasiliensis (rubber tree). Lineage: Eukaryota; Viridiplantae; Streptophyta; Magnoliopsida; Malpighiales; Euphorbiaceae. The record is from RNAcentral.
GAGCGUGAUAUGGCAUUCCUUCAGCGAGAUUCAGCUAUUGCUGAGAGAAAUAAUGCAAUGAUGGAACGAGAUAAUGCUAUUGCCACUCUUCAAUAUCGAGAGAACUCCCUGGCAAGUGGUAAUAUGUCCUCUUGUCCGCCAGGAUGUCAAAUCUCACGUGGGGUGAAGCACAUGCACCACCCACAGCAGCAUCCUCAUCAUGUGCCCCACUCAAGUGAAGCUU